ACUCCUACGGGAGGCAGCAGUAGGGAAUCUUCCGCAAUGGACGAAAGUCUGACGGAGCAACGCCGCGUGAGCGAAGAAGGCCUUCGGGUCGUAAAGCUCUGUUGUUAGGGAAGAACAAGUACGAGAGUAACUGCUCGUACCUUGACGGUACCUAACCAGAAAGCCACGGCUAACUACGUGCCAGCAGCCGCGGUAAUA
This 198-nucleotide ribosomal RNA is filed under the name uncultured bacterium. Its description in RNAcentral is "partial 16S ribosomal RNA". It matches the Rfam family "Bacterial small subunit ribosomal RNA", at positions 335 to 525 of the family's 1533-position model. The record is from RNAcentral.